UGGGGAAUAUUGCACAAUGGGCGAAAGCCUGAUGCAGCAACGCCGCGUGAGUGAUGAAGGCCUUCGGGUUGUAAAGCUCUGUCUUUUGGGACGAUAAUGACGGUACCAAAGGAGGAAGCCACGGCUAACUACGUGCCAGCAGCCGCGGUAAUACGUAGGUGGCAAGCGUUGUCCGGAUUUACUGGGCGUAAAGGAUGCGUAGGCGGAUUUUUAAGUGAGAUGUGAAAUACCCGGGCUUAACUUGGGUGCUGCAUUUCAAACUGGGAAUCUAGAGUGCGGGAGAGGAGAAUGGAGUUCCUAGUGUAGCGGUGAAAUGCGUAGAGAUUAGGAAGAACACCAGUGGCGAAGGCGAUUCUCUGGACCGUAACUGACGCUGAGGCAUGAAAGCGUGGGUAGCAAACAGGAUUAGAUACCCUGGUAGUCCACGCCGUAAACGAUGAGUACUAGGUGUAGGAGGUAUCGACCCCUUCUGUGCCGCAGUUAACACAAUAAGUACUCCGCCUGGGAAGUACGAUCGCAAGAUU
This 524-nucleotide ribosomal RNA is filed under the name uncultured bacterium. Its description in RNAcentral is "partial 16S ribosomal RNA". It matches the Rfam family "Bacterial small subunit ribosomal RNA", at positions 355 to 895 of the family's 1533-position model. The record is from RNAcentral.